RNAcentral lists this ribosomal RNA (253 nucleotides) under uncultured bacterium. RNAcentral describes it as "partial 16S ribosomal RNA". It matches the Rfam family "Bacterial small subunit ribosomal RNA", at positions 524 to 776 of the family's 1533-position model. The record is from RNAcentral.
UACGUAGGUGGCAAGCGUUAUCCGGAAUGACUGGGCGUAAAGGGUGCGUAGGUGGUUUGGCAAGUUGGCGGCGUAAUUCCGGGGCUCAACUCCGGCGCUACCGCCAAAACUGUCGGACUCGAGUGCAGGAGGGGUAAGUGGAAUUCCUAGUGUAGCGGUGAAAUGCGUAGAUAUUAGGAGGAACACCAGUGGCGAAGGCGGCUUACUGGACGACAACUGACGCUGAGGCUCGAAAGCGUGGGGAGCAAACGGG